UACGGAGGGUGCAAGCGUUAUCCGGAUUCACUGGGUUUAAAGGGUGCGUAGGCGGAUAUGUAAGUCCGUGGUGAAAUCUCCGGGCUUAACCCGGAAAUGGCAUUGGAAACUACCUUGCUCGAGGAUUGGAGGGGGGACUGGAAUACUUGGUGUAGCAGUGAAAUGCGUAGAUAUCAAGUGGAACACCAGUGGCGAAGGCGAGUCCCUGGACAACUCCUGACACUGAGGCACGAAAGCUAGGGGAGCAAACGGG
RNAcentral lists this ribosomal RNA (253 nucleotides) under uncultured bacterium. RNAcentral's name for it is "partial 16S ribosomal RNA". It matches the Rfam family "Bacterial small subunit ribosomal RNA", at positions 524 to 776 of the family's 1533-position model. The record is from RNAcentral.